AAGUGGCGGACGGGUGAGUAACACGUGGGUAAUCUGCCCUCUGGUGUGGGAUAACUGUCCGAAAGGAUAGCUAAUACCGCAUACGUCGGCGGGGUCUUUGGACCCUGUCGGGAAAGCCGGCCUCUUCAUGAAAGCUGGCGCUGGAGGUGGAGCCCGCGGCCCAUCAGCUAGUUGGUGAGGUAACGGCUCACCAAGGCGGAGACGGGUAGCUGGUCUGAGAGGAUGAUCAGCCACACUGGGACUGAGACACGGCCCAGACUCCUACGGGAGGCAGCAGUGGGGAAUAUUGGGCAAUGGGCGCAAGCCUGACCCAGCCACGCCGCGUGAGUGAUGAAGGCCUUCGGGUCGUAAAGCUCUGUGGGGAGGGACGAACACCCGCGACCUAAUACGUCGCGGUCUGACGGUACCUCCUUAGCAAGCACCGGCUAACUCCGUGCCAGCAGCCGCGGUAAUACAGGGGGGGCAAGCGUUGUUCGGAAUUACUGGGCGUAAAGGGCUCGUAGGCGGCCAACUAAGUCACACGUGAAAUCCCCAGGCUCAACCUGGGAACUGCGUGUGAUACUGGAUGGCUUGAAUUCGGGAGAGGGAUGCAGAAUUCCAGGUGUAGCGGUGAAAUGCGUAGAUAUCUGGAGGAAUACCGGUGGCGAAGGCGGCAUCCUGGACCGACAU
This 669-nucleotide ribosomal RNA is filed under the name uncultured bacterium. Its description in RNAcentral is "bacterial SSU rRNA". It matches the Rfam family "Bacterial small subunit ribosomal RNA", at positions 93 to 740 of the family's 1533-position model. The record is from RNAcentral.